RNAcentral lists this long non-coding RNA (242 nucleotides) under Homo sapiens (human). RNAcentral describes it as "HSALNT0306046". Lineage: Eukaryota; Metazoa; Chordata; Mammalia; Primates; Hominidae. The record is from RNAcentral.
ACAUGUUCCAGGCAAAAUGAAGGAACAAGGAUGACUGGUGGAGAGUAAGCAGUCUGCAUGGUGUGAUGGCUGGCUGAGGUGGUCUUGUGGAUCUGCGACACUGGAGGAAGUGCUGUCCUGGGAGGAAAGUCUGGCAAAGCAAGCCUGGAUCAGUGGAAGGGCUUGAGCAGCAGGCUGAGCAGUAUGGGCUUUGGACUACAGGUUCUGAAGGACUGCAAGGAAAUACCUGGGGAAUACUAGAA